GCUCCGGUGGAUUAGUGGUUAGAGCGUCCGCCUCGGAUGCGAGAGGUCGUGGGUUUGAAACCCAACCGAGUAAUAGCA
This is a non-coding RNA of Potamilus streckersoni, 78 nucleotides long. Lineage: Eukaryota; Metazoa; Mollusca; Bivalvia; Unionida; Unionidae. The record is from the annotation of a GenBank genome assembly.